GAUGAACGCUGGCGGCGUGCUUAAUACAUGCAAGUCGAACGAGGUGCUUUUGUAGCAAUACAGAGUGGCAGACGGGUGAGUAACGCGUGGGAACCUACCCUUUGGUUCGGAAUAGCUCAGGGAAACUUGAGGUAAUACCGGAUACGCCCUUCGGGGGAAAGAUUUAUCGCCAAAGGAUGGGCCCGCGUCGGAUUAGCUAGUUGGUGGGGUAACGGCCUACCAAGGCGACGAUCCGUAGCUGGUCUGAGAGGAUGAUCAGCCACACUGGGACUGAGACACGGCCCAGACUCCUACGGGAGGCAG
RNAcentral lists this ribosomal RNA (303 nucleotides) under uncultured Pseudomonadota bacterium. RNAcentral's name for it is "bacterial SSU rRNA". It matches the Rfam family "Bacterial small subunit ribosomal RNA", at positions 28 to 351 of the family's 1533-position model. The record is from RNAcentral. Lineage: Bacteria; Pseudomonadati; Pseudomonadota.